GAGGGUGUAGCUCAGUGGUAGAGCACAUGCUUAGCAUGCACGAGAUCCUGGGUUGAAUUCCCAGUACCUCCA
This 72-nucleotide transfer RNA is filed under the name Camelus bactrianus (Bactrian camel). It matches the Rfam family "tRNA". Rfam says of the family: Transfer RNA (tRNA) molecules are approximately 80 nucleotides in length. RNAcentral also lists the same sequence under 3 other names. Lineage: Eukaryota; Metazoa; Chordata; Mammalia; Artiodactyla; Camelidae. The record is from Rfam by way of RNAcentral.